RNAcentral lists this unclassified non-coding RNA (110 nucleotides) under Chryseobacterium wanjuense. RNAcentral's name for it is "Flavo-1 RNA". The record is from RNAcentral. Lineage: Bacteria; Pseudomonadati; Bacteroidota; Flavobacteriia; Flavobacteriales; Weeksellaceae.
AUCUAGCCCCAAUAGAAACGGUUACCCCGCAACUAGAAGUGGGAGAAUUGGAGGAUUCAGCUGUUGGAGCGCGUUGGAGUGAGGAGUAUGAGUGGAUAGUGGGAAAUAGC